Salvelinus namaycush (lake trout) is the source of this 2951-nucleotide long non-coding RNA. RefSeq lists it as uncharacterized. The record is from RefSeq and is a predicted model, not a curated record. Lineage: Eukaryota; Metazoa; Chordata; Actinopteri; Salmoniformes; Salmonidae. The transcript is spliced from 3 exons.
CACCAGAGGGACAGGGCUCUUUUUUGAGUCUUCUGGGCGUACAGGCGAGGGAACAGUGAGAACAGGGGAGGGAGAGAGGGCAUUGCCUUCGCCUGGUUUGGAGGCAAAGGGGAGGAGUGAGAGAGUCUUGGAGGGGGUGGUUCCAGGUGUGGAGGCGAUGAAAAUGGAGUCUGGAAGGUGAGAUUUCAUGUGGGACAAGAGAGGAGAGGCAGUGGAGGGAGGUGGGGACAAGGGGACCAUUGGAAGGUGGGGUUUGUAGUCGCUCUCCCUGGUAGAGAACGAGACGGUCUUCCUUCGCUUCUUGAGAGGAGGCACAAUGACAAUUGGGGAGGAGGGGCGGGGGGCUGGAGGACGAGCGUUUGAGCUGAGUGUUGAUGAAUCCUUCUUGCUGGCAGCAAUUUCUGAGAUAUGGGCACAUAUUUGAAUUAUGAAUCAGGUGAAAAACAACAUUGGCACUUGCCAUGGAAAUGAACAUCAGUAACAGAGAAACUAAAUGUGUGACUAACCAGCUUUGAUCUCGGCGCUGAGCGGUGCUUUUGGAACAGCAGCUGCAGACUUUUCUCUGGAGUGAACAACAAGUGGAAUGGUCAGUAUCAACCCAGACACACAUUGAGCAACAAAUCAAGUUUCAAUAAAGACACUUCCAUAGAAAAUAUAUAGAAAACAUUUUGGAUACUUAUAUACAGGUAUAUUCAAAAUCAGGAACACUGUUCAAAACGUACCGGUCAUCCCCCUUCUCUGUAUCCAGAGCUGUGCUGUCCAUCGUAGACUCAUCCAUGGUGUCCAGUCCACUGCCGGCCUGCUCUCCUUCCUCCUCGUCUUCAGAGGAAGAGGAGGAUGAUGAUGUUGAGGAGGAAGAACUCUCUGUGGAUGAGGAGAGGCUCUCAUCAUCGCUGUCCGCACUCAAGGCCUCAUCUGAAGAAAGAAGUGAGAGGAAGUGAGAGAUGAUAAGAUGGCAUGAUGGAAAAGAGAGGAACAGAAGGACACAGUUUGUGAUAAUAUACAAUAGUGUCUCAGGCUCAACCCAAGUCAAUGAAGCCAAAGUACAGCAGAGUAUGAAGAGGUAUACAGUGAAAUGCUGCCAUCUAGCCAGCACUAUGGGGAAAUACAACAACACUGCCAACACACACCUUAUCUGAAGAAGAACCGUCAGAAGUCUCUUCUCCUUCGCUGUCCAGGUCCCAAGGUUUCCGACUUCUCAUCUUCUUCUUCCUCCGCCUGCUGUUCCUCUCAGCCCUGUGGCCCUCCCCAUCUGCCAUUCUUCCCUCUAGACCCUUGUCAUGGUACGAGUCUGGGGGGGAGAAGGAGAGAGAAGGUGAGCAAACAUAGGAAACACAAAGACAGUCGGUGACAAAUCCCCAAAGGGAUUCCCAAAGGAGGGGGUCAUUGAUGAAAAGCUCACCUUCGUCGUCAUCCUCUGGUGGUGUCUUGGGUCUCUUCAUCUCUCCUACCUCUGCUAGCUCCAGAGGUUCUUUCCUCUUCACCUGGACACAAUACACACACACAGUUAAUAUCAUGAUAAGUUAUGGUGGAAAAAAUCCCUAAGUGAAUGGAUGGAUACAUUGGAGUAAUGUCUAUAUACAUGAACAUGUAUUAGUGUAAUGUCUAUAUACAUGAACAUGUAUUAGUGUAAUGUCUAUACAUGUACAUGUAUUAGUGUAAUGUCUAUAUACAUGAACAUGUAUUAGUGUAAUGUCUAUAUACAUGAACAUGUAUUAGUGUAAUGUCUAUACAUGAACAUGUAUUAGUGUAAUGUCUAUACAUGAACAUGUAUUAGUGUAAUGUCUAUAUACAUGAACAUGUAUUAGUGUAAUGUCUAUAUACAUGAACAUGUAUUAGUGUAAUGUCUAUAUACAUGAACAUGUAUUAGUGUAAUGUCUAUAUACAUGAACAUGUAUUAGUGUAAUGUCUAUAUACAUGAACAUGUAUUUGUGUAAUGUCUAUAUACAUGAACAUGUAUUUGUGUAAUGUCUAUAUACAUGAACAUGUAUUUGUGUAAUGUCUAUACAUGUACAUGUAUUUGUGUAAUGUCUAUAUACAUGAACAUGUAUUUGUGUAAUGUCUAUAUACAUGAACAUGUAUUAGUGUAAUGUCUAUACAUGAACAUGUAUUAGUGUAAUGUCUAUAUACAUGAACAUGUAUUUGUGUAAUGUCUAUACAUGAACAUGUAUUUGUGUAAUGUCUAUACAUGUACAGUACUAAUCCAUCUCUAUUUCCUAUGCACAGUACAAACAUGUAUGUAUCAGUAACUGACAAUUCCCCAGUUCCAACUGCUGCCUCUGUGUACUUGUUUACCUUGAAUGAGGGAAGUCGUAGCGCCCCUCUCAGUGAGAAGCCUUCCAUUCCUCCACUCUUGGCCCAGUCCACCAGAGACAUGAGGGGCUCCCGGGGCUUGCUGCUGGCCUUGUUCUCCUCCUUCUUGUCCUCGUCCCUCACUGCAGCCACACCCCGAACCAUGGUCUGGAACGGCUGGGGAGGGAGGACAGAUGUGGAUUUACAAAAGCCAAUGGGUAUCACAGCAAAUCAAAUAAUGGAUAAAAAAAUAAAAACAGGAAAACCAUGUAUGACUUAAAAAACAGAAAUCAGAAACCCAUUUCAAUUGACCAGAUGGGUAUACUACGAUGCAAGCUAGAUCUACUCAGGGUUUUCAGAAACUAGCCAGCUUCAGUUAGCUUCACAUUCCAGCUCAGAUUUCAUCCGUAAUACAAGGGUGGAUAUUGCUUGUCCGCCUGCCGCUAACUCUAGCAGGCUUGUAACUGCGUGUGCAUGUCGCACGUGGCUAAUCGAACAACAAACUCGUCGAGACAAUACUGAAACAUCAAUCCAUGGGCGAGAAAGUGACACAUUUUAAUUGUGCGUCAAGUUUCAAAUGCAUUCUGUCAUUACUAAUUGUAAUGCGAUAGGUAUUUUAACAUUUAUGUUUAACAUACAAAAAAACAUUUGAUUAAUAA